GCGCUCGUAGCUCAGCUGGAUAGAGUACUGCCCUCCGAAGGCAGGGGUCACAGGUUCGAAUCCUGUCGAGCGCGCCA
RNAcentral lists this transfer RNA (77 nucleotides) under Gammaproteobacteria bacterium. RNAcentral describes it as "tRNA-Arg". It matches the Rfam family "tRNA". Rfam says of the family: Transfer RNA (tRNA) molecules are approximately 80 nucleotides in length. Lineage: Bacteria; Pseudomonadati; Pseudomonadota; Gammaproteobacteria. The record is from RNAcentral. RNAcentral also lists the same sequence under 1 other name.